AUAAUUAUUUUAUUUUUAUAUUUUUUUAAGGAAAAUUUUUAAAUACCAUUCACGUGAUUUCACACUUUCUUAUUUUAGUACCCUGUAGUUUAAAGUGUAUUACUUUCGUACACUGUAAUUUUAUUUUUCUUUUUUUGUUAUUCCCUUCACUAAUUUUUUUCGUUAAAUCAGUGACAAAGUUAAAACUAAAUGCUACUAAAGUAAAUAUUCGAUAAACUAUACGUAGGGUAUAUAAAGUUUUUUGCAUAUAAUUUAAUAAAAAGUUAACGGAGGAAUUGACGAAAAGAAAAAAAAUGAAACCGUAAGAUACUAAAUUAAUAUAUUUUAAAUUAUAGAGUACUAAAGUGAGAAAGUACGAAACCACAGGUAUUUAAAAUUUACCCUUUUUUUUUAAGUUAUGAAGA
RNAcentral lists this long non-coding RNA (404 nucleotides) under Ananas comosus (pineapple). Its description in RNAcentral is "long non-coding RNA (ACOM_LNC016068)". Lineage: Eukaryota; Viridiplantae; Streptophyta; Magnoliopsida; Poales; Bromeliaceae. The record is from RNAcentral.